GAUCUAUUAGCUUAGUUGGUUAGAGUGUUGGAUUAAUAAUCUAAAAGUUAAAAGUUUGAUUCCUAUUUUGAACC
RNAcentral lists this transfer RNA (74 nucleotides) under Glycine max (soybean). It matches the Rfam family "tRNA". Rfam says of the family: Transfer RNA (tRNA) molecules are approximately 80 nucleotides in length. Their secondary structure includes four short double-helical elements and three loops (D, anti-codon, and T loops). The record is from Rfam by way of RNAcentral. Lineage: Eukaryota; Viridiplantae; Streptophyta; Magnoliopsida; Fabales; Fabaceae.